UCAUGGCUCAGUGGCAAAGUAUCUGCCUGCAAUGCAGGAGAUCUGGGUUCGAUCCCUGGGUCGUGAA
RNAcentral lists this transfer RNA (67 nucleotides) under Ovis aries (sheep). It matches the Rfam family "tRNA". From Rfam's summary of the family: Transfer RNA (tRNA) molecules are approximately 80 nucleotides in length. Their secondary structure includes four short double-helical elements and three loops (D, anti-codon, and T loops). The record is from Rfam by way of RNAcentral. Lineage: Eukaryota; Metazoa; Chordata; Mammalia; Artiodactyla; Bovidae.